GUUUAACCUGCCCACUGAAUAUUUAAAUGGCUGCAGUAUAUUGACUGUACAAAGGUAGCAUAAUCAUUAGUUUUUUAAUUGAAAACUGGAAUGAAUGGUUGGAUGAAAUAUAGACUGUUUUAUAUAAAAUUUAUUAGAAUUUUAUUUUUUAGUUAAAAAGCUAAAAUAGAUUUAAAAGACGAGAAGACCCUAUAAAUCUUUAUAUAAUAAUAUAAAAAUUAAUUAUUUAGAAGAUUUAGUUAUUUUAGAUUAUUAUAUUUUAUUGGGGAGAUAAUAAAAUUUAAUGAACUUUUAUUUAUUAUAUCAUUGAUUUAUGAUUUAUUGAUUAAUUAUUAAUGCAUAAUAGAAUAAGUUACUUUAGGGAUAACAGCGUAAUUAUUUUGGAGAGUUCAUAUUGAUAAAAUAGAUUGCGACCUCGAUGUUGGAUUAAGAAUAAAUUUAGGUGUAGAAGCUUAAAAUUUAAGUCUGUUCGACUUU
RNAcentral lists this ribosomal RNA (477 nucleotides) under Cyclopodia sp. Its description in RNAcentral is "partial large subunit ribosomal RNA". The stretch from base 363 to 477 matches the Rfam family "Bacterial large subunit ribosomal RNA", at positions 2473 to 2588 of the family's 2925-position model. RNAcentral also lists the same sequence under 1 other name. Lineage: Eukaryota; Metazoa; Arthropoda; Insecta; Diptera; Nycteribiidae. The record is from RNAcentral.